UGGGGAAUAUUGCACAAUGGGCGCAAGCCUGAUGCAGCCAUGCCGCGUGUAUGAAGAAGGCCUUCGGGUUGUAAAGUACUUUCAGCGGGGAGGAAGGGAGUAAAGUUAAUACCUUUGCUCAUUGACGUUACCCGCAGAAGAAGCACCGGCUAACUCCGUGCCAGCAGCCGCGGUAAUACGGAGGGUGCAAGCGUUAAUCGGAAUUACUGGGCGUAAAGCGCACGCAGGCGGUUUGUUAAGUCAGAUGUGAAAUCCUCGAGCUCAACCUGGGAACUGCAUCUGAUACUGGCAAGCUUGAGUCUCGUAGAGGGGGGUAGAAUUCCAGGUGUAGCGGUGAAAUGCGUAGAGAUCUGGAGGAAUACCGGUGGCGAAGGCGGCCCCCUGGACGAAGACUGACGCUCAGGUGCGAAAGCGUGGGGAGCAAACAGG
RNAcentral lists this ribosomal RNA (429 nucleotides) under Chloroflexota bacterium. RNAcentral's name for it is "Chloroflexi bacterium partial 16S ribosomal RNA". It matches the Rfam family "Bacterial small subunit ribosomal RNA", at positions 355 to 776 of the family's 1533-position model. Lineage: Bacteria; Bacillati; Chloroflexota. The record is from RNAcentral.